GCAAAGGCGUCAGGAAUUAUCUCCGUAAUUGUCGGCGACACUUCCUCCAUUUGUGCCUCGUCAGUGUGACAAGAUUAUUACUAUUUUUAUUUUUUUACAGCAGAGUCAUGGUGGAUGCUAAGGGAAAAACGGCUUCUUUGUUCUACUGAGGUGUGGGCGUUUUAUUAAUACAUCAACAGGUAGGCGUGUCUUGAAAUCAUUUUGCUUUUAAGUUCAAAGCAUCCUCACUUGAGACGUCAUGAAAUCUGGUGAGAGUUCAGCUUCAGAAAAGUCAGCACUGACCUUGCGGAUGGGCAUGGCGUCUCCCUGCGAGCUGACCAUCUCCACCUCAAUGCGCUCCAUCAAGCCCUCCAGCUGGUCGCGCACGUCCCGCGCUCGCCUCAUGGAGCGGAACUGGAUGAAGUUCUCGUAGCACCACUGCGUCGAGUAGCCGCUCUCCACCCACUAAGGCACACAGACACAAACACAUUUUUACAAACAAAUGCCCAUUGAAAAACUCCAACAUUUUAUAUUUCCAUAUAUACAGUAACAGUUGCAAGAAAAAGUAUGCAAACCCUUUGGAAUGAGCAGGAUUUCUGCAUAGAUUGGUCAUGAAGUGUGAUCUGAUCUUCCUCUAAGUAACAACCACAAAAUUGCUCAGCGGGCAGCCAACAUAAAGACACUGACUUUAGUCUAAAGACACAGAAGAGGCGCUGCAGGAGUGUUUCGAUGUCACCAACAGCUUUUAAAUAAGUAUAAUUUUAUUAGAAAAGAUAUUUGUUAUCGGUAUUAUUAUUGUUUUUAUGUUUGGCCCUUGUGUACAGCACUGUUUCAGUUGCUGUUGUUUUUUUUAAAGUGUUCUAUAAACAAAGUUGAGCUGACAGUUCAGUACACAGUGUCUGCAAUUUUUAAGAUAUUUGGUUUUAUCUGCUUCUUUUACUGUAUAAAGUUUUUAACUAAUUUCAG
Phyllopteryx taeniolatus (common seadragon) is the source of this 945-nucleotide long non-coding RNA. RefSeq lists it as uncharacterized. NCBI's taxonomy places the organism in Eukaryota, Metazoa, Chordata, Actinopteri, Syngnathiformes, Syngnathidae. The transcript has 2 exons. The record is from RefSeq and is a predicted model, not a curated record.